RNAcentral lists this unclassified non-coding RNA (30 nucleotides) under Human immunodeficiency virus 1. Its description in RNAcentral is "TAR RNA from Human immunodeficiency virus 1 (PDB 6MCE, chain A)". The record is from RNAcentral. Lineage: Riboviria; Pararnavirae; Artverviricota; Revtraviricetes; Ortervirales; Retroviridae.
GGGCAGAUUGAGCCUGGGAGCUCUCUGCCC